RNAcentral lists this transfer RNA (70 nucleotides) under Loxodonta africana (African savanna elephant). It matches the Rfam family "tRNA". From Rfam's summary of the family: Transfer RNA (tRNA) molecules are approximately 80 nucleotides in length. Their secondary structure includes four short double-helical elements and three loops (D, anti-codon, and T loops). Lineage: Eukaryota; Metazoa; Chordata; Mammalia; Proboscidea; Elephantidae. The record is from Rfam by way of RNAcentral.
GCAGUGGUGGUUCUGUGGUAGAAUUUCUGCUUGCCAUGCAGGAGACCUGGGUUCUAGCCCAGCCAAUGCA